GGCCGGUUCCAAGGUAGUGAGUUAUCUCCAUUGAUUGUUGACAAUCAGGUACAGAUCGAACUCCUCGUUCUACUUACUCCAUCCCCCCUUCUCACUACUGCACUUGGCCAUUCAAAA
Molecule: Y RNA, 117 nt
Filed under: Propithecus coquereli (Coquerel's sifaka)
Lineage: Eukaryota; Metazoa; Chordata; Mammalia; Primates; Indriidae
Description: Y RNA (ENSPCOG00000002272.1)
Rfam family: Y RNA
About the family: Y RNAs are components of the Ro ribonucleoprotein particle (Ro RNP), in association with Ro60 and La proteins. The Y RNAs and Ro60 and La proteins are well conserved, but the function of the Ro RNP is not known. In humans the RNA component can be one of four small RNAs -- hY1, hY3, hY4 and hY5.
Source: RNAcentral